UCUCCGUUGGUGAACCAGCGGAGGGAUCACUACCGAGUUAUCAACUCCCAAACCCCUGUGAACAUACCCAACGUUGCUUCGGCGGGGCCGCCCCGGCGCCCUCGGCGUCCCGGAACCAGGCGCCCGCCGGAGGACCCAAACUCUUGUUUAAACCAUAGUGGCAUAUUCUGAGUCUCACAAGAAAAAUGAAUCAAAACUUUCAACAACGGAUCUCUUGGCUCUG
This 223-nucleotide unclassified non-coding RNA is filed under the name plant metagenome. Its description in RNAcentral is "partial contains small subunit ribosomal RNA, internal transcribed spacer 1, and 5.8S ribosomal RNA". The record is from RNAcentral.